RNAcentral lists this transfer RNA (63 nucleotides) under Ornithodoros tholozani. RNAcentral's name for it is "tRNA-Thr". It matches the Rfam family "tRNA". From Rfam's summary of the family: Transfer RNA (tRNA) molecules are approximately 80 nucleotides in length. Their secondary structure includes four short double-helical elements and three loops (D, anti-codon, and T loops). Further hydrogen bonds mediate the characteristic L-shaped molecular structure. tRNAs have two regions of fundamental functional importance: the anti-codon, which is responsible for specific mRNA codon recognition, and the 3' end, to which the tRNAs corresponding amino acid is attached (by aminoacyl-tRNA synthetases). tRNAs cope with the degeneracy of the genetic code in two manners: having more than one tRNA (with a specific anti-codon) for a particular amino acid; and 'wobble' base-pairing, i.e. permitting non-standard base-pairing at the 3rd anti-codon position. The record is from RNAcentral. Lineage: Eukaryota; Metazoa; Arthropoda; Arachnida; Ixodida; Argasidae.
AGUUAUAAUAGUUUAAUUAAAACAGAGGUCUUGUAAACCUAAAAUGAUCAAUCUUAUAACUUC